RNAcentral lists this ribosomal RNA (372 nucleotides) under uncultured bacterium. RNAcentral describes it as "bacterial SSU rRNA". It matches the Rfam family "Bacterial small subunit ribosomal RNA", at positions 525 to 896 of the family's 1533-position model. The record is from RNAcentral.
ACAGAGGGUGCAAGCGUUAAUCGGAAUUACUGGGCGUAAAGCGAGCGUAGGUGGCUUGAUAAGUCAGAUGUGAAAUCCCCGGGCUUAACCUGGGAACUGCAUCUGAUACUGUUAGGCUAGAAUAGGUGAGAGGAAGGUAGAAUUCCAGGUGUAGCGGUGAAAUGCGUAGAGAUCUGGAGGAAUACCGAUGGCGAAGGCAGCCUUCUGGCAUCAUAUUGACGCUGAGGUUCGAAAGCGUGGGUGGCAAACAGGAUUUGAUACCCUGGUAGUCCACGCCGUAAACGAUGUCUACUAGUCGUUGGGUCCCUUGAGGACUUAGUGACGCAGCUAACGCAAUAAGUAGACCGCCUGGGGAGUACGGCCGCAAGGUUA